Molecule: long non-coding RNA, 2022 nt
Organism: Bombyx mori (domestic silkworm)
Lineage: Eukaryota; Metazoa; Arthropoda; Insecta; Lepidoptera; Bombycidae
Exons: 2
Source: RefSeq, a predicted model, not a curated record
ACUGCCAUCAUCAUAAUAAUCAAUAACUAUUUAUUCCAUUUAGGGUUUGUACGUACGUUCGCAACAAUAACUUUGACUCACCACUAAUAACUAGGUUGCGACAACUCAUUCGCUGCCAGUCAGGAGUUUUCAAGGAAUCAACACGCGCUAUUUUUUGUACUAAUUAACGUUUACUUGUAAAAACAUAUUUCUGUUCCACAACGCGGUGGGACAUACUCGUCGUUAAUAUCUCCCAGGUCUUAUUGAUUUAAUUGACAGAACAUAACUAUUCAUACUCGCAUGGUUCAUGGCAAAUUGGUAGAAUAAACAAGGCGUGCCGGCUCCUUGUGGGGUCAUCCGUGACCUCUGACCUUUAUCAUCACCAUAACAUAAUUUAUAAUAGAUUACCACACAAUAUAACGAGGUAAUGACAUAAAACGCGAUGGCCACUGUCAUACGAGUACAUUCUGUGCACGCGCUAUUUGUACCUCAAUUCUGAGCUUACUAUGUUCAUGGACACCACACAGUGAUGAGGCGGGGAUCAGGUGAUAUCAUUUAAAGACGUAAUUUAGGAAUGGGAGUCAGGCAUAUUAAUGAAGUUUUCAUAGAAUCAAUUGACCUCACAGGAUCAUGUCGUACGUGCCCGAUGAUUAGUUACGUCUAGUCGUCCCGUGCCGAUGCCGAUGCCGAUAUGUCUGCUGUCAUGUGUCUGCUGCACACCAGCUCCGUGCUGCGUGAUGAUGACGUCGAUUGAUUCUUUUGAAUUUUUAUUGUAAGCAUUCACUGGUAUUUUAAUUUUAGAUCUUGUUUUAAAAGGUCAUGAAUACCGUUCGAAGAGCUGUGCACAGACGAGGGUUCUGUAGACAGAACGAACUGAACUACAAAUUUUGUAUGACUAAGUUUGUAUGACUAAGAUAUUACAUUAACUCGCUAAGCACUCAACGUCAUUGUUGAUGACUGUGAUUCCUGCCUGCAUCUUCUUCCUGCUUUUAGAACGUUGAGCACUCUGCUCUUCAAUGAAUAUUUGUUUCAUCCGGUUCCCUCGGAGCGUCGUUGUAGCUAGUGACGUUUAGAACUGAGAGCGGCUGGGGAGUGUGCGUGACGCGAGACAGCGCCGCCUCCGACUUAACCACUUCACAAAGAGGAGUGAACGCGUAAACAGUAGUAGGUACUUAUAUUGUUUCAGCUCUUAACCUUAUGAACACGAAACAACCAUGACCGCCAGCCAGCCACGAGCCACUGCAACAAACGAAAGAUCUCUGUCUACCCUGAGAAUCUACCUCUAGAGUUUUCCAUAAAGCUUAUGAUGACAGGUAAGCAACCUUAUUUCGAAUUGUCGAGAAGUGAUCAGGUCACGACGUGUGCCGGGGACAUGCGAUGACGACAUCACGAUUAGAGGCUGAGCAUGCGGGUCGCGUGCGAGCCGUGACCUCACGCGGCGACCUCGAGUCCGACCUCACAGACGCCACAAACGUAUAUUUUGAAUCUUUUCCUGUCAGUACACACCGAUGUAGUACUUCGCUGACUUAAUUUGGUAAACACAAAUCAAUGAUACAAAUCUUAACGAUUUGAGAGUGCGUGUUGAUUUGAGAGGACUGGGAUCCUCCGAGAUUUUGACUUGAUUGAAAUAGACGCCGCGCGACGAGGUAGAGAGUGCAACUAGCAGCAUCCUUUCGCCGAACCAGCUCGUGUGCACGGGAGGCGAGACAGAACGGACUCUCCUUGCGAUCAUCAGAGGGAAUAGAAGAAAUCUAAAAAGUAGUCCGUGAGCAUCAGCUGAGCUAGUGGCGCCUGCAGGACGUGAGCCCCGGCACUGUGGCGUCGCUCCGUGCGGUCACACCUCUCAUCCUCAAGGGCACGACUCUCUCACUAGAUUACUGAGCCUAAAACGACUCCAAAGUACUUAUUCUAACUGUAAAACGAGUUUAUAAAAUAAUGUAUCUACAAUAGCACACGGCGCACAGCACACAGUACGAUAACGCGUGAACUAUUUGAAUUAUCAACAUUCAUUAAAAUUUACUUCAAUAGAUACAUUUUAAUUAA